GUGUGAAUAAAUGAAUGUUUAAUGAGAUAUGACAAUACAGUUUCAUUGGCAGUACAGGUGUUAGAUUACAUUAGCGGCUGAAGAUAAAUGCAAACCUGUAGCUAUAAUAUGUGCUUUGAAUUUAUUUAUUUAUUUUAAAUAUGGUUUUGGUCUCCAACUCCACAUUCCAAUAAUACCAUUCCUUUAUAUUUUAAACAUAUCUUGAAACAUUUUCCCUUAAUAUCCUAAGACUGAAUUCUUCAGAUACAUCAUCUUGGUUACUGUGAAGUUGCUAUGCUACAUAUAAAAGGCAUAUUCUUGAACGUUUUUUUAAACCAUGCACCUUCUUUAGACCAUAAUAGGAAGAGUGAAGUCACUUAGAUCACACCCGUGAACAGAGGGUUGUGAUGUACUGUGUUAAUUGAAAUACUUAAUCUUGAAUUUCAAACAUGAUUCAAAUAAAUCGCAAAAAUGGUAAAAUAUGUUUGGAUUGUGAGUGAACAGUAUUUUCUAAAUAUAAAUAUAUUAUUACAAUACAUACCAAGAAAUUGGUUAAUUAUAAGAGAAUCUAAAUAAUAUUGAAAUUUACUAGGACAAUCUUGUCAACAUCUGCAAUUAGCAUCACCUAAAAAGGCAGGGGCUUCAUGGUUCUGGACCUGAGAGAAAUCCCAUUUCCAUUCUCAUAGUAUUUCUGUAAUUCACCAUGGUUAUUUAAUGAAGGAAGAAAUGUUGGGAAUUCAAACUGAAUUUAAAGUGAAUUUUAAAUUUAGCUCCAAAAUAGCUGAAUUGGAAAAAUUCCCCAAUGCAGCUAUUCUUGCAGUUGUUAUUUUGGUCUCGAAAUUCACUUGGAAUUCACUUUGCAUUCUCAACAAUCCUCACCUCAGCAAAUAACCCAGCACGUGUAAUAUAUAGCAAACCUAUGCUGAUCCACGUGACCUUUAUGCUCUGCCUUAUGGUCUUAAAUGAUAAUUAUAUAACUAGUCAGAGAUAUUCACUAAAGUGUGAAUUGCUAGGAAUUUAGAGUGAAUUUUAAUUUUAAGGUAAAAUGACAGAACUGAAAGCAUAGUUGCAUUUGAAAAUAAUUUUUUGAUUGCUGAAAUCCCGACCUUUAGUGAAUAGACCUGAGUGUUUGCUUGUAAAGCUGAACCCCUGUUAACUCCUAUGGAUCAAGGGCUGUUUAAUUAAAGGGACACUAUAGUCACCAGAACAACAACAGCUUAAUCUAUUUGUUCUGAGUAUAGUUAGUCACUGCAGGCUUUUUGCUGUAAACACUGUCUUUUCAGACAAAAGACAUUGUUUACAUUGCUCGCUAGGGACACCUCCAGUGGCAGUCACUCGGACCGCCAAUAGAGGUGCUUCCUGGGUCAGCAUGGAGGUGCUGAACAUUCCUCAUAGAGAUGCUUUGAUUCUAUGCAUCUAUGAGGAGGUGCUGAUUGGCCAGUAUGGUGUUUGGCUCCUCCCCCUCCCCCACCUCCUUGGCUAAGAUCAUCAGAAUUGACUAUCUCAGCCAAUCCAAUGCUUUUCCACAGGGAAGCUGAGAUAAUCAAUACUGAUGGUCUCAGUGAAGGGGGUGGGGCAGUACUGGCUGACAUGCACAGUGCUGGGUUAAAGGUGAAUUUUUACCUUACUUAAGGUGUAAGCAGGGAGGAGUGGGGGGCAGAAGCCUAAAUAGUGUUUUGUAACACUAUAAGGUCAGGAAUCCACGUUUGUAUUGCUGAUCCUAUUGUAUGUCUUUAACCAAUACAAAUUGAAAUACUAGAUCACAAGAUCCAAUUACCAACAUGGAAUGCACCAUUCAUUAUUAGAUAGACAGUGCAUUUCAUGCUGGUAUGUAGUCUUUACCGACCAGACUGUAAUGGCAGUAUGAAAUGACUUUCAAGACAUCUGCCACUUAAUAAUGGUGUCCUGGUUCUUUCUUUAGUUGUAGUAAAUAUUGUUUCAGAAACAAAGUCCUGUAAAAUCAUUCAUGCUCUCUCUCUCUCUCUAUAUAU
This 1970-nucleotide long non-coding RNA is filed under the name Pelobates cultripes (western spadefoot toad). Lineage: Eukaryota; Metazoa; Chordata; Amphibia; Anura; Pelobatidae. The record is from RNAcentral.